RNAcentral lists this ribosomal RNA (433 nucleotides) under uncultured bacterium. RNAcentral's name for it is "partial 16S ribosomal RNA". It matches the Rfam family "Bacterial small subunit ribosomal RNA", at positions 29 to 507 of the family's 1533-position model. The record is from RNAcentral.
AACGAACGCUGGCGGCAUGCCUAACACAUGCAAGUCGAACGAGACCUUCGGGUCUAGUGGCGCACGGGUGCGUAACGCGUGGGAACCUGCCCUUAGGUUCGGAAUAACUCCCCGAAAGGGGUGCUAAUACCGGAUAAUCUCUUCGGACCAAAGAUUUAUCGCCUUUGGAUGGGCCCGCGUGGGAUUAGCUAGUUGGUAGGGUAAAAGCCUACCAAGGCGACGAUCCAUAGCUGGUCUGAGAGGAUGAUCAGCCACACUGGGACUGAGACACGGCCCAGACUCCGACGGGAGGCAGCAGUGGGGAAUAUUGGACAAUGGGCGAAAGCCUGAUCCAGCAAUGCCGCGUGAGUGAUGAAGGCCUUAGGGUUGUAAAGCUCUUUUACCCGGGAUGAUAAUGACAGUACCGGGAGAAUAAGCUCCGGCUAACUCCGUG